AGAGUUUGAUCCUGGCUCAGGAUGAACGCUAGCGGCAGGCCUAACACAUGCAAGUCGAACGGUAACAGGAAUUAGCUUGCUAAUUUGCUGACGAGUGGCGCACGGGUGCGUAACGCGUAUGCAAUCUACCUUGUACUGGAGUAUAGCCCAGGGAAACUUGGAUUAAUCCUCCAUAGUCUAUUGAUAUGGCAUCGUAUUAAUAGUAAAGGUUACGGUACAAGAUGAGCAUGCGUCCUAUUAGCUAGUAGGUGUGGUAACGGCACACCUAGGCAACGAUAGGUAGGGGUCCUGAGAGGGAGAUCCCCCACACUGGUACUGAGACACGGACCAGACUCCUACGGGAGGCAGCAGUGAGGAAUAUUGGACAAUGGGCGGGAGCCUGAUCCAGCCAUGCCGCGUGCAGGAAGACUGCCCUAUGGGUUGUAAACUGCUUUUAUACGGGAAGAAUAAGUGUUACGUGUAGCACGAUGACGGUACCGUAAGAAUAAGCACCGGCUAACUCCGUGCCAGCAGCCGCGGUAAUACGGAGGGUGCAAGCGUUACCCGGAAUCAUUGGGUUUAAAGGGUCCGU
This 571-nucleotide ribosomal RNA is filed under the name uncultured Cytophaga sp. RNAcentral describes it as "bacterial SSU rRNA". It matches the Rfam family "Bacterial small subunit ribosomal RNA", at positions 8 to 572 of the family's 1533-position model. Lineage: Bacteria; Pseudomonadati; Bacteroidota; Cytophagia; Cytophagales; Cytophagaceae. The record is from RNAcentral.